AAACAUUAGCACAAACACCUAAUUUUAGAGUAUCAAUUGGGCACUUGCCUUUGGAUGGGCUAGGACUUGGUUUUGGUUUUGGUUUAGGACUUGGGCAAGUGCCACAUGCACUCACAAGGGAGAAAAAGAGAAGGUUGACAAGAAGAAAGAGAGCAAGAGAAGUAGUUUUCUUAGAAGCCAUUUCUAAGAGUCUAAAAUUUCUUAAUGAUUGAUAUAACUAUCAACUUUAGUAGUUAUAAGUAGAUUGUUG
This 250-nucleotide long non-coding RNA is filed under the name Nicotiana tabacum (common tobacco). RNAcentral's name for it is "long non-coding RNA (NTAB_LNC005500)". Lineage: Eukaryota; Viridiplantae; Streptophyta; Magnoliopsida; Solanales; Solanaceae. The record is from RNAcentral.